Molecule: ribosomal RNA, 274 nt
Filed under: uncultured bacterium
Lineage: Bacteria
Description: partial 16S ribosomal RNA
Rfam family: Bacterial small subunit ribosomal RNA
Source: RNAcentral
AUACGGAGGGGGUUAGCGUUGUUCGGAAUUACUGGGCGUAAAGCGCAUGUAGGUGGUGUGGCAAGUUAGAGGUGAAAGGCCUGGGCUCAACCUGGGAACUGCCUUUAAUACUGUCACGCUAGAGUUCGGGAGAGGGUAGCGGAAUUCCAAGUGUAGAGGUGAAAUUCGUAGAUAUUUGGAAGAACACCGGUGGCGAAGGCGGCUACCUGGACCGACACUGACACUGAGAUGCGAAAGCGUGGGGAGCGAACAGGAUUAGAAACCCCAGUAGUCC